UCAAUGAUAGGAAACAACAGGAUCUUGAAACCUAUGGUUCUCACAAACAAUCAAUAAACAACAAUAGAUAAUGAUGUGUACCUUUCUCCAUUAAGACUUGUACCUUUCUCUUUGGAACUUCUCUCCAGUGCACUUUGAUUUCCUUGAAAGAGGAGAGAAAUAAGAUUUCACUUCCUUAGGCCUUUCUUCUCUGCCUCUCUCCGUUCGUGAUGGUUAUGGUGAGAGAGAACACUUUCUGGUCAGGAAGGGGACCUUAUUUCACAUUAGUGGGUAUUAAGCCCCUUUUAUAACCAUUACUCCCAUCAAGUAACAGUUAACCCUAGAAACUUCUCCUAUUAAGACUAAUUACAAUUUAGUCCUUAAUCGUUAAUUAUUUAUUUAUUAGUCCCUACAUAAGUCACAUGCCUCUCAUAUGAGACAUUAAUUCUUACAUUCUCCCACUUGGCUCAUGUGACAUUAAUAAACAUUAUGGACUAAAUAAAUAAAUAGAUUAACUAACAUAAUGCGCAUUAAAAAUUGACUAAAUUGUUCUAUACAUUGGGUACAUCAUAAUUUCAUGAUUAAGAAUAGGAACCAAUUUGAGUCAUGGCGGUUGUACAUCAUCUAAUUGACAUAGUCCCUUCCAUAUACUACAAAUUAGUCUUCUCCUUAAUAUGACCAUUAGUUAGGAGUACAUAAUUGGUCCAACAUAAUGUCUUCAUUCAAGACAAAACCCGUUAACAUUACUCUAACACAAACAUGCAUGCAAACAUAGAGAACAUGUAAUCAGAAACAUAUCAUAAUUGAGCUCAGAGUGUCAGCAAAAUUACAUAAGGUAAAUUACAUUUAAUGAUCAUCAAUAACAAUAAUGCCCAUACUUUCAACAUGUUCUAUAAUGUCUUGGGCAAUAAUCCCUUAUUCAAAGGGUCAACUAUCAUAAGGUUUGUGCUAAUAUGUUCUAUUGACACUCUUUGUUUCUGAACUUCUUCCUUCACGACAAAGUACCUCAAUUUCAUAUGCUUAGCACCCUUAGAGUACUUGUCGUUCUAACAAAAUACUGCUGCGGAGUUAUCACAAUACAUUUUCAGCGGCCUAGCAAUAUUAUCGACAAUUCCAAGCCCUGAAAUAAAGUUCCGCAGCCAAUUAGCCUGAAUUGUAACCUUAAAACAUAUUACAAAUUCAGCUCUCAGAUGCAACAACAACUGAUGAAUACAAAAUUACUUUCAUUUGUUUUCGUUCCAUAUCAUUUCUAGGACAUUGUGCGAGACUAACUCUGUCUCAUUUCUGAAUUAGAAUAGGCGAUGUUAAACACCUUUCCAUCUUGAAUCUCUCUAGCACUAUAUCGAUAUAUAUACUUUCUGAGAUAAGCCUAACAAUCCUUGUGAUCUAUUAUGAAAUAUUUCUAUCCCUAUCACAUAGGUUACCUCACCCAUAUCUUUCACUUCAAAGUUUCUAGAGAGAAAUUUCUUAGUCUCAUGAAGAAGACCAAGAUCGUUAGCUGCAAGCAAGAUAUCAUCAAUAUACAAAAUUAGAAAAUAACCUUACUCCCACUGACCUUCAGAUACAUACACCGAUAAACAGUAUUUUCCUUAAAUCUAAAGGAAAUAAUGGUAUCAUUAAACCUCAAAUACCAUUGGCGGGAAGCUUGUUUUAAUAUUGUAUAUUAAUUUCUUUAGUAUGCACACCAUGUGUUCAUUUCCUUCAACUGAGAACCCCAUUGGUUGGUCCAUACAAACAUUCUUCUCUAAGUCUCCAUUAAGAAAGGCAGUUUUCACAUCCAUCUGAUGUAACUCCAAGUCAUAAUGGGCUACUAAUGCCAUAAUAAUCCUGAAAGAAUCCUUUCAUGAGACGGGUGAAAACGUCUCUUUAUAAUCAAUGUCAUCUUUCUGAGUAAAUUCCUUAGCAACAAGUCUAGUCUUGUAACGUUCAAAGUUGUCAUGAGAGUCACGUUUAGUCUUGAAGACCCACUUACAACCAACUCUCUUACAACCCUUUGGUAAUUUUACAAGCUCCCAAACUCCAUUAUGUUCCAUGGAAUCUAUUUCUUCUUUCAUGACAUUUAACCACUUCUCAGAACUAUCAUAACUUACAACUUGUGAAAACAAAACUGGAUCAUUAUCAUUAAUGCUUAAGUUUGUUUCUGUUUCAUGUAGGUAUACCACAUGAUCAUUCGAAAUAGCUGGUCUUCUUUCUUUUUGAGACCUCCUUAAUGCUACUUCUUGUGGUUCUUCCCCAAUGGGUUCAUUAUGUAUCAUGGGCUCAUCAUUGUGUUGUACUUCUUCAUUACUGUUUGCAACAAUAACUGAUGUAGUAAUCACCUUACUGUUAGAGACAAAAGUUAAAGGGACUUGCACUCUAACUUCUUUAAUUUUCACUUCUCGUGGAACUGUACUCCCACUGAUUUCACCGUUUUCAAUGAAUCUUGCAUUUCCAGUUUCGACAAUUCUCAUAUUAUGAUUAGGACAAUAAAUCAUAUACCCAUUUGACUUUUUUGGAUAACCAAUGAAAUAUUCACUGAUUGUUCUUGCAUCCAAUUUUCUUUCUUGCGGAUUGUAAAUUCUUAUUUCUGUCUAGCAACCCCAAACAUGCAGGUGCCUUAUACUAGGCGUCCUAUUUGUCCACAGUUCAAAAGAUGUCUUUGGAACUGCCUUACUAGGAACCCUAUUCAACAAAUACAUGGCAGUUUUCAAGGCAUACAUCCACAAACAUACGGGUAAAGUCUAAUUGAUUAACAUACUCCUAACCAUAUCCAUUAAAGUUCUACUAUGUCUUUCUGAUACACCAUUUUGUUGUGGUGUAUCGGGAAUUGUGUAUUGCACACAAAUGCAUGUUUCUGAACAAGCUUAGCAAAUGAACUUGAGUGUUGCCCAGUUUCAUCAUAUCUUCCGUAAUACUUAUCACCUCUAUCAUAUCUAAUAAUUUUCACAUUUAUGUCUAAUUGCCAUUUUACUUUAUUGUAGUAAAUUUCUAAGGCAUCCAUUGCCUAAGAAAUCUCGGGCAGUAAGUAGACAUAACCGUAACGUGAAUAAUCAUCAAUAAUGGUGAUAAAGUAUCUUUCAUUUCCGAAAGAACUAACAUCAAAAUGUCCACAAAUAUCAGUAUGCACAAUUUCAAGAAGCUGAGUGCUUCUUGUAGCUCAUUUCUUUGUGUGUUUUAUUUGUUUUCCCUUGAUACAAUCCACACAAAUAUUUAGAUCCGUAAAAUCUAGAUCAGGAAGAAUUUCAUUCUUUAUUAAUCUUUUUAUCCUUUCUCUAGAAAUGUGACCUAAACGUUUAUGCCACAAGAAAGCAGAUCGUUCAUUCACUAAACUACGUUUAGUGCCAACAUUAUGAUGCAGAAUUAAAACAGUUUCAACAUACAAACUGUCUAUUUCCAAUUUAUAUAAACCAUCACGAGAAUAUCAGUACCAAUGAGAUGAUUAUGCUUAAAUAAAUUGAAACAUCCAUUACCAAAAUUAAAAGAGUAUGCAGUAACAUCAAGUUUAAAUAAUGAAACUAAAUUACUAGAUAAACUAGGUACAUAAGGAGUUUCCAGUAAAUCUAAACGACGUCCAGUGUUGCAUUUUAAACAAUAAGUCUCAACUAUUUUCACUGGAGCUUUCACUUCAUUCCCCAUGAAAAUGAACUUCUCAUUUGGGCUUAUGGUUUGGAUUGUAAGGAAUCUUUGCAUAAUGUUAGAAACAUGAGUCAUACAUCCAGAAUUAAUCCAUCAUGUAUCAUGGGAAACUAUAGUUAAGUUUGAUUCAAAACAUACAUGAGCAUUAAGCUCACCAUUCUUUUCGAACCAAGACUUACACUUUAGGCAAUCCUUUUGGAAAUAUCUUAAUUUCACAAAAUUGACAAUUAUUGCCCUUUGAUACCUUUCUUCUGGAUUUGCAAAGAGUCGUCAUUGUUCUUUAAUGACCCUUUUUGCCUUUAUCAUGCUUCUUCAUAAAUUUCUUUUCAAGCUCCUUGAUUCCCUUGGUGGCUAACAUAAUGGACUAAGUGACUUCCUUGAUUCUUAAGCCUCGUUUCUUCCAGAACUAACAUACUGUGCAAUUCAUGCACAUUCCAUUUAUCUUUCAUGAUAUUAUAGUUCAUUUAGAACAGGCCAAACUCAGACGGUAAUGAGUUCAGAAUAAACUGAACAAGAAAGUUCUCAUUCACAGCCAUUAUAUUCUCAAGGUCUUAAGUCUUGUUGUAAUGUUUGUCAUCUCAAUGACAUGUGCAUACAUAGUACGUGAAUCAUCAAACUUCAUGGUGAUCAAUGUACUCAUUAAUGUCCCAACAACAGACUUAUCAGCUAUUUGAGAAUACUCUCCCACUAAUCUCAUAAACUUUUUAGCACUUUCGAUUUUAGGGAGAGUUGUCUUAAUACUGUCUGCAACAGUCAUUCUUAUCAACAUUAGGCUGAGUCUGUUAGGUCUUUCCCAAGUUUUAUAAUGAACUUUCUCUUCAUUGCUACUAACAUCAAUAAUAGUAACAAAUUUCUCUUCUAACAUAGCAAGAUCAUGAUCCAAAACACUAAGGUGAAAUUGGACUUGCUCAUUUCUGUCAGAGAAGUUAAGCCCAUUAAAAUUGGUACAGAUGAUGCAUAAGAAUCCAAUGAAUUCAAAACAUGUAUUACAUAAUAAAAUUCACAUAAGUGUUUUGAGACAUAAAAUAUAUGUCAUACAUAUGAUUCAUUCAGAUAACAGACAAUGUAUAUUGAUGUUCUCCUUUGGGUGAUACACCAACAUACAACAUACAAACAUAAUGAUGCUAAUAAAAUUUUAACAUUAUUUGGCAAUUAAAUAUGCACCAAUUAGUUGUAUCUAUUUCCUUUGGGCAUAUAAAUAAAACUAAUGAUACACACAAAUUGCCUACAAUUAUAUUCAUUAAUUAUAAGAAUAACUAAUCAACCUUUGGGCGAUCCAUAAAUGCCUUAUAACAAUGAAUUUCAAUUACCCAUAAACCAAUAAUCAUAUAAUUUAGCAUCCAUUAUUCUAUGAGUAAUUGGAAUAAUCAUUAAGUUAGAAUUAAAUAACCUUACAAAUUUGGCCACUUUGGUGACUAACAAAUUCAACAUAUAUUUAAUUCCAACCAAAUAUUAUUGAAAUAAUCAUUAAUUUGGAAUUAAAUAACCUUACAAAUUUGGUCACUUUGGUGACUAACAAAUCCAACAUACAUUUAAUUCCAACCAAAUAUGUAUGGCCUGCACAUACUUAUUGCUAUUAACAAUUCAUAGUCAUUCUAUUAAUUUCAUUCCAAACCAUAAAAUAAUAUUUGCAUUUAUUUGUGUUUUUACAUUCUAACACGUUCAAGCAAAUAUGUAGCAUAUACAUGUAUUUACUGCUAUCAAUAAUUGCAAAACAUUCACAUUAAUUUAAUUACAUAACAUAAACUUUCAAUCCUUUAAUCACUUUCAACAAUAAUUUUUUCGGGAAAAAAAAGAUCAAGUGGGAUUGGAAAUAGCAAACAUAAGGUUGCAAAUAGAAAUUUCCAAAAUUUCAAUAUUCUUCCUGCAACAAACGUACCUGCCAACGCAGCUUUUCAAAAUUGAAAUUGAAUCUUUACGUUUAGGCACGCUUUCUUUCUUUCACCAUUAGAAGUAAAAACUUUCUCCAAAUUUAAUAUAUACAUGCCGUGCAACUUUCUCUCCCAUAAUCAUAAGUUUUCAAAUAAUCUUUCUCCAAAAAUUGGUAUUCAACAAUAAUAAAAUAUUGCCAAUAAAAUAAUACAUGCAGCGGAAAAUAAAAUUCCUAAAUUUCAUAAUUAGGAUUUAUGCAUAAUUGAGAGAAAUUAAAUUAUCCCUAAAUUUCAUAAUUAGGGUUCAUACAUAAUUGAAAGAAAUUAAAUUAUCCUUAAAUUUCAUAAUUAGGGUUCAUGUAUAAUUGAGAGAAAUUAAAUCAUUCUUGGAGAAUCAUAAAUUUCAUAACAUGCUCUGAUACCACAUGUAAAGAUUCUUAAGGGGUUUCCUAGACUAUCAAUGACAGGAAACAACAGGAUCUUAAAACCUAUGGUUCUCACAAACAAUCAAUAAACAACAAUAGAUAAUGAUGUGUACCUUUCUCCAUUAAGACUUGUACCUUUCUCUUUGGAACUUCUCUCCGGUGCACUUUAAUUUUCUUGAAAGAGGAGAAAAAUAAGAUUUCACUUCCUUAGGCCUUUCUUCUCUGCCUCUCUCCGUUCGUGAUGGUUAUGGUGAGAGAGAACACUUUCUGGUAAGGAAGGGGACCUUAUUUCACAUUAGUGGGUAUUAAGCCCAUUUUAUAACCAUUACUCCUAUCAAGUAGCAGUUAACCCUAGAAACUUCUCCUAUUAAGCCCAAUUACAAUUUAGUCCUUAAUCGUUAAUUAUUUAUUUAUUAGUCCCUACAUAAGUCACAUACCUCUCACAUGAGACAUUAAUUCUUACAAUCACCACCUUCUAAGUUAUCAGAGGAUGAGGAUGGUCAUAUUUAUUCACACCUUCUUGAAAUAUAUGCAUUGACAUCAAUAGAUCCUUUGAGUUAAGUGAUUCAGUGUGACAAACAAGCAGCAUAUAAUUGAUCUGACUUGUAUGCAAAACAAUUUGCAUAUUUGCUUUCCUCCAUUGUAGUGAUUGAAACGCAUAUGCCUGACC
Molecule: long non-coding RNA, 6560 nt
Filed under: Glycine max (soybean)
Lineage: Eukaryota; Viridiplantae; Streptophyta; Magnoliopsida; Fabales; Fabaceae
Description: long non-coding RNA (GMAX_LNC000335)
Source: RNAcentral